RNAcentral lists this long non-coding RNA (232 nucleotides) under Mytilus galloprovincialis (Mediterranean mussel). Lineage: Eukaryota; Metazoa; Mollusca; Bivalvia; Mytilida; Mytilidae. The record is from RNAcentral.
CAUGGAUGCAAUUUGGGUACUCCUCAUUACAGAAUCAUGGAUAGUUUGGAGGUUGAUUCAAACCCAUUUUUUUAUGACUCAAUAUGGAUUAAAAAUAAAAUUGGUGUACCUAUACAAUAAAGAAGGAUAGGGCUACAAAAUAAACACAGUAUGGACAUUUUUUUCUUGAUCAUAAAAAAACGUAGGUGAAAAAACUGUCAAAAUAGGUGCAAUUUGGGUACCGUCACGUUAG